CGCGUGGAUGAUGAAGGCCUUUGGGUUGUAAAAUCCUGUUUUGGGGGAAGAAACCUUAAGGGUCCAAUAAACCCUUGAAUUGACGGUACCCCAAGAGAAAGCUCCGGCUAAUUAUGUGCCAGCAGCCGCGGUAAUACAUAAGGAGCAAGCGUUAUCCGGAAUUAUUGGGCGUAAAGAGCUCGUAGGCGGUCUUAAAAGUCAGGUGUGAAAUCAUCAGGCUCAACCUGAUAAGGUCAUCUGAAACUUUAAGACUUGAGGAUAGAAGAGGAAAGUGGAAUUCCCGGUGUAGCGGUGAAAUGCGUAGAUAUCGGGAGGAAUACCAGUGGCGAAGGCGGCUUUCUGGUCUAUUUCUGACGCUGAGGAGCGAAAGCUAGGGGAGCAAACGGGAUUAGAUACCCCGGUAGUCCUAGCUGUAAACGAUGGAUACUAGGUGUGGGAGGUAUCGACCCCUUCUGUGCCGCAGCUAACGC
This 470-nucleotide ribosomal RNA is filed under the name uncultured Bacillota bacterium. Its description in RNAcentral is "bacterial SSU rRNA". It matches the Rfam family "Bacterial small subunit ribosomal RNA", at positions 398 to 858 of the family's 1533-position model. The record is from RNAcentral. Lineage: Bacteria; Bacillati; Bacillota.